GACGGAGGGUGCUAGCGUUGUUCGGAAUGACUGGGCGUAAAGGGCGCGUAGGCGGCUCGUGAAGUCGGGUGUGAAAGCCCGGGGCUCAACCCCGGAACGGCAUCCGAUACUGGCGGGCUUGAGACCGGGAGAGGAGGGUGGAAUACCCAGUGUAGAGGUGAAAUUCGUAGAUAUUGGGUGGAACACCGGUGACGAAAGCGGCUCUCUGGCCCGGAUCUGACGCUGAGGCGCGAAAGCGUGGGGAGCAAACAGG
RNAcentral lists this ribosomal RNA (253 nucleotides) under uncultured bacterium. Its description in RNAcentral is "partial 16S ribosomal RNA". It matches the Rfam family "Bacterial small subunit ribosomal RNA", at positions 524 to 776 of the family's 1533-position model. The record is from RNAcentral.